RNAcentral lists this ribosomal RNA (508 nucleotides) under Botrytis cinerea. RNAcentral's name for it is "eukaryotic LSU rRNA". The stretch from base 154 to 307 matches the Rfam family "5.8S ribosomal RNA". Lineage: Eukaryota; Fungi; Ascomycota; Leotiomycetes; Helotiales; Sclerotiniaceae. The record is from RNAcentral.
UCAUUACAGAGUUCAUGCCCGAAAGGGUAGACCUCCCACCCUUGUGUAUUAUUACUUUGUUGCUUUGGCGAGCUGCCUUCGGGCCUUGUAUGCUCGCCAGAGAAUACCAAAACUCUUUUUAUUAAUGUCGUCUGAGUACUAUAUAAUAGUUAAAACUUUCAACAACGGAUCUCUUGGUUCUGGCAUCGAUGAAGAACGCAGCGAAAUGCGAUAAGUAAUGUGAAUUGCAGAAUUCAGUGAAUCAUCGAAUCUUUGAACGCACAUUGCGCCCCUUGGUAUUCCGGGGGGCAUGCCUGUUCGAGCGUCAUUUCAACCCUCAAGCUUAGCUUGGUAUUGAGUCUAUGUCAGUAAUGGCAGGCUCUAAAAUCAGUGGCGGCGCCGCUGGGUCCUGAACGUAGUAAUUAUCUCUCGUUACAGGUUCUCGGUGUGCUUCUGCCAAAACCCAAAUUUUUCUAUGGUUGACCUCGGAUCAGGUAGGGAUACCCGCUGAACUUAAGCAUAUCAAUAA